AUUUUUUAGUAGUUAUUAAAAAUGAUUUCUGCUCAAUGUUGAAUGAAUAGCCGCGGUAUUUUGACUGUGCAAAGGUAGCAUAAUAAUUAGUCUUAUAAUUUAAGACUGGAAUGAAGGGAUAAACUAGAAAAUUUAUUUCUUGAUUGUUAAUUUUUAAUUUUACUUUUUAGUAAAAAGGCUAAAAUGUUUCUUAUAGACAAAAAGACCCUAUAAAACUUUACAUAAAAGAGUUUAGUAGACUGUAGACAUGUUUUACUGGGGCGGUAAGGGGAUUAAACACUCUUAAACUUUAAAGAUAUUAUUAUUUGUAUACCCAAAACUUUUGAAGAUUGAAUAAGUUACUUUAGGGAUAACAGCGUUAUAUACCUUUAAAGCUCUAAUUGACAGGUAUGUUUGCGACCUCGAUGUUGGAUUAAAUUUUCUUCGUUGCGCAAGAGCAAUGGAAGAAGGUCUGUUCGACCUGUAAUAAUUUCCA
RNAcentral lists this ribosomal RNA (475 nucleotides) under Centruroides limbatus. Its description in RNAcentral is "partial 16S ribosomal RNA". It matches the Rfam family "Bacterial large subunit ribosomal RNA", at positions 1829 to 2600 of the family's 2925-position model. Lineage: Eukaryota; Metazoa; Arthropoda; Arachnida; Scorpiones; Buthidae. The record is from RNAcentral.